GACGAACGCUGGCGGCGUGCUUAACACAUGCAAGUCGAACGGAAAGGCCCUGCUUUUGUGGGGUGCUCGAGUGGCGAACGGGUGAGUAACACGUGAGUAACCUGCCCUUGACUUUGGGAUAACUUCAGGAAACUGGGGCUAAUACCGGAUAGGAGCUCCUGCUGCAUGGUGGGGGUUGGAAAGUUUCGGCGGUUGGGGAUGGACUCGCGGCUUAUCAGCUUGUUGGUGGGGUAGUGGCUUACCAAGGCUUUGACGGGUAGCCGGCCUGAGAGGGUGACCGGCCACAUUGGGACUGAGAUACAGCCCAGACUCCUACGGGAGGCAGCAGUGGGGAAUAUUGCACAAUGGGCGGAAGCCUGAUGCAGCAACGCCGCGUGCGGGAUGACGGCCUUCGGGGUGUAAACCGCUUUCGCCUGUGACGAAGCGUGAGUGACGGUAAUGGGUAAAGAAGCACCGGCUAACUACGUG
This 468-nucleotide ribosomal RNA is filed under the name uncultured bacterium. RNAcentral's name for it is "partial 16S ribosomal RNA". It matches the Rfam family "Bacterial small subunit ribosomal RNA", at positions 28 to 507 of the family's 1533-position model. The record is from RNAcentral.